AACUAAUUUUCUUUGAAUUGACAUGUCUGUUAUAUAUUAUUUCUGUUUUAUUUUGCUUUCAUUUUUGGUUCCUAGUGUGUAAAAAGCCAUCUUCAUCUAUGAAUAUUUGUUUUCCUUUGUUUUUUAAUUGUAUUUUAUUUUGGUGGGGAAGCUUUUAUUUUCUUACUUCCUGUUUUUGCGUUAUAUCCUGUGUGUUCCCGCUGCCCUCCUCAGUUCGCGCCAAGCUGCGCUGGGGAGAGGGUGUUUGUGGAGAAUCCGGAGCCCAGGAGCUGCUGUUUAAAAUGUUCUUGUUUUGAACAGGAAUAAAAUUAUCCUGAAUCCUGAUUC
Long non-coding RNA from Poecilia latipinna (sailfin molly), 327 nucleotides. RefSeq lists it as uncharacterized. NCBI's taxonomy places the organism in Eukaryota, Metazoa, Chordata, Actinopteri, Cyprinodontiformes, Poeciliidae. The record is from RefSeq and is a predicted model, not a curated record. The transcript is spliced from 3 exons.